Molecule: long non-coding RNA, 705 nt
Filed under: Chrysemys picta bellii (western painted turtle)
Lineage: Eukaryota; Metazoa; Chordata; Testudines; Emydidae
Description: lncRNA (ENSCPBG00000006969.1)
Source: RNAcentral
UUCCCUUGUUCACAGGGACGGUAUGAGGAAAGAUACAUGGGAGGUGCUGAGAUAUGAGUGAAAUGGAGGCUCUGUACGGACACUGGGAUAGAUUGUGAAAUGGCGAGUGGAGCAGGAUGCUGCUCUGCAUCCUAUGAUGAGGGCAAAAUAUGACCUGUGGAGCAGAAGAAGAUGGUUGACUGUGGGGAGGAUCUGAUCUCCAACCUGUGGACUCAUUAUGCAGAGGCUGCAACUCCAAUUGCUUUGAUGUACUUCAGCAGCUCUGAAGGAGUCAUUCCAGCCUACCAAAACAAUGAUUUAAGAAGAAAUCUUACCACAAUAAGCAGGAGUGCAGUACUAGCAUCUCCGUUUUAUUACAGCUGGAGUUCAGUCACUGAAAAAAGGUAAACAGAAACACUAUUGAAUUACCUGACCUGAAACUUGUCAGCUCAUACAUGAAAUUCAGCACCUACUUCUUAAGUCUAUCCUGGGGAUCACAGAUCCAUAAUCUUAGUGGUGCCAGCCAGGUGGUCCUCUCACGCACUGUAUUACAGUGCUAAAGCAGCUCCUGCCCACGUGCAUGAACAGCUUGUCGAGAAUAUGCUUCAUCCAGCUGUUGUGCACUAGAAAUGUACCCAGCAGGUGGAAAGGUGACAGAUGAACCAAUUAGCUAAAGAAUAUUGAUGGCAAGAACAGGGCAAGGUUGACAGCAGAAGGCAGGUAGCA